CCAUUUCAGCAGUACAUGCACAAAAACUGUAAUAACUCAGAGAAGGUUAGUGUGGCCUCUCUGCCAGAAUGACAUGCAAAUUCAUGAGCAGAACCUGUUCUUA
This 103-nucleotide small nuclear RNA is filed under the name Peromyscus maniculatus bairdii (prairie deer mouse). Lineage: Eukaryota; Metazoa; Chordata; Mammalia; Rodentia; Cricetidae. The record is from RNAcentral.